RNAcentral lists this ribosomal RNA (390 nucleotides) under uncultured bacterium. Its description in RNAcentral is "bacterial SSU rRNA". It matches the Rfam family "Bacterial small subunit ribosomal RNA", at positions 29 to 419 of the family's 1533-position model. The record is from RNAcentral.
AUUGAACGCUGGCGGCAUGCCUUACACAUGCAAGUCGAACGGCAGCACGGGAGCAAUCCUGGUGGCGAGUGGCGAACGGGUGAGUAAUAUAUCGGAACGUGCCCGGUCGUGGGGAUAACGUAGCGAAAGCUACGCUAAUACCGCAUACGAUCUACGGAUGAAAGCGGGGGAUCGCAAGACCUCGCGCGAUUGGAGCGACCGAUAUCAGAUUAGGUAGUUGGUGAGGUAAAGGCUCACCAAGCCGACGAUCUGUAGCUGGUCUGAGAGGACGACCAGCCACACUGGGACUGAGACACGGCCCAGACUCCUACGGGAGGCAGCAGUGGGGAAUUUUGGACAAAUGGGCGCAAGCCUGAUCCAGCAAUGCCGCGUGACAGGAUGAAGGCCUGG